This is an RNA transcript of Limulus polyphemus (Atlantic horseshoe crab), 7214 nucleotides long. RefSeq lists it as uncharacterized. Lineage: Eukaryota; Metazoa; Arthropoda; Merostomata; Xiphosura; Limulidae. The record is from RefSeq and is a predicted model, not a curated record. The transcript is spliced from 6 exons.
CCUGAAGACGCAGGAAUGCACAAAAAAUUUAAAAUGAAAGAACUUUUACCAUUCACCAGCCCCUAUCCAUACCAGUCUUUUACCUGGGAGUCAGAGUUAGACAACCUGAACAGUGAAAAAUCUCGUGUCUCUUGGCAUUUGCCUUCUUAUUUCAAAUCCUGGCCAGAAAUCGACGAAACGAAAACUACAUUACAGCUACCUCCUACUACCUUGCCGUAUUCCAAAGAAAGAAUUACUUCUGGUCCGUCAGACUACAUGGGCUCAGAGAGAUCACAACCUGAGCACAGUGACGAUGAAACUUGUCCAGAUGUCAAAUCAGAAGCUUAUCAGAAAAACUACAGUGUCACACUUUUUAAGUCAGUGACCCCUUCUCAGAAGGAAGUGCUAAGAAAGGUACAAAAAAUCAAACAAGAGCCAUCGUGGGAUAGCAAUCCUGAAUGGUGUGAGUUACAGAAGCAGACAGAGUACAAAAAACCCCAAGCAGCUACGUUUGUUGAAGCAGAAGACUUGGUGUCAAGAAAUAACUGUUUGAAAGCAAUUAAAUUGGAAAUUGAGAGAGAAGGACGUUUAAUGUCUGGUGAAAUUCAACCAUCAUCUGAAGGUGUAGAUGUGAGCAAAGAGCUAAACCAACUUAAUUCCUUGGUUCAUAUUUAUCAUCUGCAAGAAGAAGCACAAGAGAAGAUCAUGUCUAAAGUUGAAAGCAUCAUCUUAAAGUACUGUGAUUAUCUGGCUAAGACCACUUUGAAACAUCAAAAUGAAAGAAAGGAGUUUGAAAAAGAAAAACGUAUCAACAUGGAAAAACGUAUCGAACUACAAACCAUCAACAGAAUUUUAAAUAAAGAGCUUCAGGUUUUAAAAACCCAAUACCAGAGUCCAAGAGAAAACAAUAAAAUUGAUAAGAGGAAUGUGAGUAAACAAAGCUAUAAGGAAGCAAACGUGAAACUUUGCUUUUGUAGAGAUUAUUAUACUAUCGCAAGCCAAAACAAAGCACUUCAGGAAAAGUUGGUGACAUUACAGCAGGAAGUUAUGCAAAUGAAGGAAAAUCAUAUGCCCAAAGCAUUGCACAUGGCCAGUAACCAGGGUAAUGAAAUUGAACCUCUUACUCCCGAGUCUGAAGUAGAAAGUUUUGCCGUGAGAAACAAAUCACCACAAGGGGAAGAAUCAGACAUUAUGCCCAGUGACAAAGAUUGAAGUGCGUCAAGAUACAGUGCAAUGGAAUCUUUAUUAAACAGGGUACAGGGUAGUAGGAAAAAAGCAGCUAGACACCUGACUUGUAUUGAAUAAUGAAAGUAGAAGAUUUAUUCUUAACUUACAUCAGCCGGAGAUUUACAAAUGUCGUGUUAUUUCAGCCAUAAAAUAAAAUCUCGGAUAAAGGGAAUCCUUCCAUUUGUUAUGUUAUUAUACCUGUCCAAACCAGAACUCUGUCCUCAAAAGUUUGAACUUGGUGUUCUUGGCAUGUGUUCACAUUAUAACUGUGGUUAUAAUUUAAUGUGCUUGCACAAAAUUUUACUUCAGUAUUUUACAGACAAAGGUAAAAAAAAUCUGUUUCCAAAGUAUUCUUUGCUGUUUAAGGUUCCUUGGCUGAAGAUUAACAUGUAAACUGUGUUUUGUAGCUCACAUACUUGGCAUUGGGAUGUUAAAGGAAAGGAGUUAAACAUUGAAAAAAAAAACAUGUAAGCAUUGUGACAUAGAUGUAUUAAUGUAAAUAUAGUUAUGGCACUACGUUUGACUUUUUCACCUUGCCAUACAGCUUAGAGAAAUCCUGUUUAACAAGCUACACAGAAAGAUUGUGUAAGACUUUAACAAGCUACACAGAAAGAUGGUGUAAGACUUUAACAAGCUACACAAAAAAGUUAUGUAGGACUUUAACAAGAUGCACAGACAAGCUAUGUAAGACUUUAACAAGCUACACAAACUGUAAAAUAGUAAGCUUCAUGUCACUGAACAAGUGUGCUUUCUAUGUAUUAAAAUUUGAGGUUUCAUGGAAAACAAUAUGUAUGAAUACUUGUAUUUUAACAACUCAUUCUUAUAACAAAUGUUCAAGUGUGUGAAGUCCCCUUUCAUUUUAGAAAAACUAAACAUCACAAGUUAUGUUAUGAAACCGGAUUUUCUUAUACCAUGUUUUAUUGUUCAGUAUGUCAAUAGACAACUCUGUAAACGUUACAUGUUAUGAAUCCAGUUUUUCUCAUACCAUAUUUUAUUGUCCAAUAUGUCACCAGACAACGCUGGUUGGCAGCCAUUUGGAUCCAAUAAAAUCCUUAGUCAUUUAUAUUCCACCCCAACAUACUUUCAUUUAAAUGUUUAGUUUUUGUUUUUAAUUUUUGAUGCCAAAAAAGGGCAAGAACCAUGAGAUAUUAUUAAAGUUGUGUAUAAAGCAGUAUUCCCUUAUUGCCUUUGUAACUCAAGUUUUGUUUAAGAGUCUCUUAAUCAAAUCUUUAAUGUGUGUUUGGUCAGUAGAACUGUACUUCAAGUAAGCAUUACUCGAAAAAUUAAUGUUACUCUUAGCCAAGCCAGUAAUCUGUCCGGAAAUAUUUUGUUUGUAGUCAGAAUUGUAUGGCCGAAGAUUAGUUUUUCAUUACCUAUUACUGUACCCAAAUUUACUACUUGUUUUGAUUAUGCAUGUAUAUGACCUUUGGCUAAUGGAUUCACAUCUCGAUCUCUGAAAUGCAUAAGAUUUUAUUGUUUUUGUCAUUGAUGGUAUCCUCUUACUUACUACUUUUAAGACAACUUAUGCCUGUGUGAUAUGUCUCAUUGGUUAAAAUACCAGAAGCUUCCAUUAACGGAAUUGUUUAAAUAAUUUACUACAAAGUUGUUCAAAGUUAUCUUUCUAAAGUUGUAUGCUAGUUCUUUUCAAUUCUCACCGAUUUACACAAAUUAAUGUACGAGAAUAUGCGAGGAGUCCAUAAGCUUAGCAAACAGGCUUUCAAAGGACCGACAAGCAUUGGUGCUGCACUUCAAAUAUUUUUCAUACAGAAGAGAUGUGUGAAGCAACUAGCUUUUGGGCUACUAUGUAUGUGAAACCUAGUGAUUAGUGUAGAAAUGGUUAAAAAUUGCAUUACGUUAAGAGCUUACAUUCUUUUCUACACCGAAGUUAACUAUAAGUCAGAAAUGUAAAGAGCCUACAUUAUAGUCUCAGACAUUCCCUCGUUUUUUAUAAAUCAGGUUAACAAUAAGUCAGAAAGAAUUGUUAAGAGCCUACGUUAUAGUCUCAGACAUUUCCUUUGUUUUAUAGAUCAGGUUAACAAUAAGUCAGAAAGAAUUGUUAAGAGCCUACGUUAUAGUCUCAGACAUUUCCUUUGUUUUAUAGAUCAGGUUAACAAUAAGUAGAAAGAAUUGUUAAGAGCUUACAUUAUAGUCUCAGACAUUCCCUCGUUUUUUAUAAAUCAGGUUAACAAUAAGUCAGAAAGAAUUGUUAAGAGCCUACGUUAUAGUCUCAGACAUUUCCUUUGUUUUAUAGAUCAGGUUAACAAUAAGUCAGAAAGAAUUGUUAAGAGCCUACGUUAUAGUCUGAGACAUUUCCUUUGUUUUAUAGAUCAGGUUAACAAUAAGUCAGAAAGAAUUGUUAAGAGCCUACGUUAUAGUCUGAGACAUUUCCUUUGUUUUAUAGAUCAGGUUAACUAUAAGUCAGAAAGAGUUGUUAAGUGCCUACGUUAUAGUCUGAGACAUUUCCUUUGUUUUAUAGAUCAGGUUAACAAUAAGUCAGAAAGAAUUGUUAAGAGCCUACGUUAUAGUCUGAGACAUUUCCUUUGUUUAAUAGAUCAGGUUAACAAUAAGUCAGAAAGAAUUGUUAAAAGCAAACAUUAUAGUUUCAAACAUUUCCUUUGUUUUUAUACAUUGAGAUUAACAGUAAGCCAGAACUACUACUUCAGAGUGAAUGAAUUGUGGAAGUUUUUGAAAACUGUAAGGGCUGAUUUUUUAUGGUCGUUUAGACAGGUAACACCACUGACUAAAUCAUAUAGAGAAAGAGAACAGCUAAUCUGUGCAAGUAGAUCUAUGUUUAUAUAUAUAUAUAUAUAAACAUAAUGUUCACUGUAGAGGUGAAACACAUUAAGCAAUAAUGGCUGGAGACGGCUUGAAUGGUUAAAGAAGAAAAAUUUUAAUAUAAGUUUAACAUAACAGCAAAUGUACAACGUUUCGACAAGGUUUUGUCAUCACAUUAAGCAAUGCUUUUUUAUCACGUGAAAAUGUUGUCAUGGUGCCUAAAAGAAGGAGAAGACUUGCGAAAAAAUCACCGUCGCGUAUUUCUCUAGUUGAAUUUUUUUCUUACUAUCAGUAGCAUAGAUGUGGGAAAAAUAUUUGGAUAUGUAAGGAAUCCAAUUUUUAGCGAACGACUACCCCGAUAUUCUAAAAUGUCUAACAGGUCCAAUAUUUCUGACUCCUUUUUUUUAAUAUAUAUAUAAAAACACUUGAAAAUUAUUUAAAUCACUUAAAGUUAUUUGUGUAGAAAAUAAUCCCCAAACCCACUACGCCCCUUGGUGGAGUGGAGUAUUUAGGUAAGCUAAAAAAGAUAAAAUAAUUUGUUUAAUUUCGUCUUUAAAAUGCAUUGUUGAUAAUUUGUUGCUUUAUAAACAUCGCAUAUUUGACUAUAAGAAUUUUUUUUUGUUUAGUUUCAACCCAAAUUAAAAACAUUUUAUUACUACGCCACCGCGUAAUACAUACUAAACCCUUACUUAUGGUUUUGUUUUCGUUACUUUUGUUUGUAAUUAAGCACAAAGCUACAUAAUGGGCUAUCUGUGUUCUGCCCACCACAGGUAUCGAAACUUUCACGUUCUCUUAUAUGCCAGGGAAAACUUUUUAGAUGAGGUGGUAAGGAAACUUUUUUUUUACUUAAAUGUUUUUUAUUGUUGUUUUUUUAUGUUGCUUGUGGCUGAAGCUUCUUCUUUGACUAAUAUGAAAAUAUUUUAUCUUAAAAUACUGUUAAGAGUACAGUCUUUUAAAGGCUCAAAAUAUAUAAAAAUCUUUAAACUAAAAAUAAUUAUUGUGUUCCUUGUAGAAGAAUAGUGCAUCCGAGAUGAUGUCUUUUUGUCAUAUUUUGUAAUGAUCUGUUUUGUUCGUAGCAUGAAAAUACCGGUGCAUAUGUUUUAUAUGUUAAGUUUAGAAAAAUACAAAAAUGUUUGGUUACUCUACAAUAUAGCUUACAAGGAUUUUACUAGUCUAGCUUAUCAAACCGGUCAGAUUUUCUUCUUGUUUUUUGUCGUGGCCAUACUUUGAUAUGCCAGUGACGUACAAAUAUUUUAUUGAGCCAUAACACUUUUGUAUUUACUUUAUAAGGAUCACAUGAUUUGCCAUUUCAUAAACCUAUUUCUGCUUCACUCAUAAGUAACGUUGAGGGGUAGAGGGAAAUUGUGAAACAAACCAUCAUGUUAUCCUUCCUAAGUUUUUUAUAUGUGUAUCUAUAUGUCAUCGUUAAAAAUUCUAUUAUUUUUAGUAUCUACUGCUGACUUGUAUAUUGUAUGAUGAAGGUAUUUUUUAUGAUGAAGAAGAAAAAAUUACAUGACCAAGCAGAACAUAACGUAGAAGAAAGUAACAUUACAGCUUCGUUAUUGUUACUGUAAUUACGAUUAUUCAAUAAAUUUCAUAGUUAAAUGAUAACAUAUAAAUGCAAAUUCUUUACUGAACCUAAUUAGUUUUAAAGGCAAAAUUCACCAUUCUGUUUUAGUUGCAUAAAUAUCAUAAUCAAGAGUAACCUCUAAUAAAAACCAGUUUAACAACUAGUUAAAUCCUGUGCAGGUUUGCAAUUGGCAAUAAUAAAAACACCUUAGUAAUUAAAAAAAAAGGGGUAAUCGUAUUGCAUAUGUUAAUAUUUUCUCGAUUCUGCGCAUCACAGAAUCAAUUUUCCGUUUCUAGUUUCUUAUAUCCUAGUUUCUAGUUUAUCCUAUAAAACUGGUGAAUUUAUUCUGAUUGAUUUUUCACGACUUUACUAAUCUGUCUUAUUAUUUGUCAUACAUAUUAAUAUAUAUCUACUGCUGUUCAGGACAAAAAAGAAAAAUAACAUUUUAGAUCUCAUUGAGAAUAUCAUUUUAUGUGAAUGGAGGAAAUAAAACUUCAGAAUAGGAAAAUAUUCACCAGAUGGCGAUCCUUCUAGAUUAUUCUCCAACCUUGUUAGUUAUCUAUAUUUUUAAUUAUUAUUACUUAAAGAUUUGGGCGCCAACUUUCUUCAUACAAACCAAUGUUUUCAUGGUCUACAUAUACCUUCUUUGGCUCUGUUUUAAAGAGUUACAAAAAUUUAUUAUUGAAUUUAUGGUUAAUAAUAUGUUAUGCAUUUAUUCCAACACGUUCUUUCACGUAAAUAAGCUCAAUUUACAUAACGCUUAUCAUCAAAAAGUACCUUACCACGUAACAUAAACCUUUUUGUGUAUAAUUCUGUGGAAAUGUGCUUAUCACAUUCAUACAAAUGUUAGCAAAUAUGCCCUCUGAAAAUACAUAGCUUUAUAGGCUUCAUACUAGUUUCAUCACGUGUAUAUUUGUCAAUGAAAGUUUAUUAAUCUCUGAGGCAUCCUAAAGAGAUCGAAAUAGUCUCGUUUUUCGCUAUUGAAUUCAGCUUGGACAGUGCUUUAGUAUGACAGCUUUGGUAUACUUGCCUUGUACAAAUAAACGCUUUGUGAAUUCAUUCUUUGUUAGCAAAAUCAGUUUACGUACUCAUGAUAUCAUUUUGUAAUUUUUAUAUUUAAGCUCAUAUAGUUUAGUUGUCAUGACAACACCCCCACCCCCCUGCUAUAGCACAUUCGAUCUGUUUUAUUUGACAAUGUAACUGUUGUUUAAUCAACAUUAAGUUAACAUAAUACUGUUACCAUAUAAAUGUUUAGGAUGAGAUUGUAACCAUGUAGUCUGUAAGUAGUACAAAUGUCCUGGUGACACUCCCUCUUGUAACAUAUUUGGUCUGUUUUAUUUGAUAACGCUACGGAUGUUUAAUCAACAUUUAAACUCAAAUCGUUUUGUUAAAUUACUAUAGCAAUGUUAAAAGUAACAACUGUAGAUAUCUCGUUAUUAUAGUACAAAUGUUUUCUUCGUUGAUAUUUUGUCAUUUUUAUGCAAGUGUGUUUUAACAAAAGUUGGAAAUAAUAGUUAGCAUGGCAACGACCAUUUAUCUCCUAUCGUAUUAUUUUUGUGUCAGUAAUAAGACAAUUUAUGUAGCCUACUAGUUGUUCCACAAGUGGCGCUACCGUCUGUGUUUUUUCCCACAGUUUAUUACUGAUCAAGGUGCUGUACAAAUA